GAUAAACGCUGGCGGCGUGCCUAACACAUGCAAGUCGAACGCUUUCUUUGUCUUCGGACAAAGAGGGAGUGGCGGACGGGUGAGUAACACGUGGGUAAUCUAGCUUCGAGUGAGGAAUACCGACGAGAAAUCGUUGACAAUACCGCAUAUGCUUGCCACAUAGGCAAGCAAAGCCGAAAGGCGCUCGAAGAUGAGCCUGCGCCCGAUUAGCUAGCUGGGGGGUAAAAGCCUACCAGGGCGACGAUCGGUAGCUGGUCUGAGAGGACGAUCAGCCACACUGGGAUUGAGAACGGCCCAGACUCCUACGGGAGGCAGCAGUGAGGAAUUUCCGCAAUGGGCGCAAGCCUGACGGAGCAACGCCGCGUGCAGGAAGAAGGUCUUCGGAUCGUAAACUGCUUUUAUCAGGGAAGAGAACGGACGGUACCUGAUGAAGAAGUCCCGGCUAACUACGUGCCAGCAG
Molecule: ribosomal RNA, 460 nt
Filed under: uncultured bacterium
Lineage: Bacteria
Description: bacterial SSU rRNA
Rfam family: Bacterial small subunit ribosomal RNA
Source: RNAcentral